AAUGAACGCUUGCGGCAGGCCUAACACAUGCAAGUCGAACGGAUCCUUCGGGAUUAGUGGCGGACGGGUGAGUAACGCGUGGGAACAUACCCAAAGGUACGGAAUAGCCUCGGGAAACUGGGAGUAAUACCGUAUGUGCUCGAAAGAGGAAAGAUUUAUCGCCUUUGGAUUGGCCCGCGUUGGAUUAGGUAGUUGGUGGGGUAAUGGCCUACCAAGCCGACGAUCCAUAGCUGGUUUGAGAGGAUGAUCAGCCACACUGGGACUGAGACACGGCCCAGACUCCUACGGGAGGCAGCAGUGGGGAAUCUUAGACAAUGGGGGAAACCCUGAUCUAGCCAUGCCGCGUGAUCGAUGAAGGCCUUAGGGUUGUAAAGAUCUUUCAGGUGGGAAGAUAAUGACUGUACCACCAGAAGAAGCCCCAGCUAACUCCGUGCCAGCAGCCGCGGUAA
RNAcentral lists this ribosomal RNA (449 nucleotides) under uncultured bacterium. Its description in RNAcentral is "partial 16S ribosomal RNA". It matches the Rfam family "Bacterial small subunit ribosomal RNA", at positions 29 to 523 of the family's 1533-position model. The record is from RNAcentral.